UAAAGUUGCAAGCCACAGAAGCACCUUGAGU
This 31-nucleotide non-coding RNA is filed under the name Rattus norvegicus (Norway rat). Lineage: Eukaryota; Metazoa; Chordata; Mammalia; Rodentia; Muridae. The record is from RNAcentral.